RNAcentral lists this ribosomal RNA (494 nucleotides) under uncultured bacterium. RNAcentral describes it as "bacterial SSU rRNA". It matches the Rfam family "Bacterial small subunit ribosomal RNA", at positions 28 to 400 of the family's 1533-position model. The record is from RNAcentral.
GACGAACGCUGGCGGCAUGCCUAACACAUGCAAGUCGAACGGAGAGUUUCUAACACUGAGAAUCUUCAGUGUGACGCCAAGCGGUGAAAGCGGAGCUUUCACUACGCUCUUUAAAGUGUGACAACACAUACAGGCGGGGAACACGGAAAGGUUUUCAGUGUUGGAAACUCUUAGUGGCGAACGGGUGAGUAACGCGUAGGCAACCUGCCCUUUAGUUGGGGACAACAUUCCGAAAGGGGUGCUAAUACCGAAUGUGAUCACUUUCUCGCAUGAGAUUGUGAUGAAAGAUGGCCUCUAUUUAUAAGCUAUCGCUAAAGGAUGGGCCUGCGUCUGAUUAGCUAGUUGGUGGGGUAACGGCCUACCAAGGCGAUGAUCAGUAGCCGGUCUGAGAGGAUGAACGGCCACAUUGGGACUGAGACACGGCCCAGACUCCUACGGGAGGCAGCAGUGGGGAAUCUUCCGCAAUGGGCGAAAGCCUGACGGAGCAAUGCCGC